UAAUACGGAGGGUGCAAGCGUUAUCCGGAUUCACUGGGUUUAAAGGGUGCGUAGGCGGACUGUUAAGUCAGUGGUGAAAUCUCAGAGCUUAACUCUGAAACUGCCAUUGAUACUAUCAGUCUUGAAUGUUCUGGAGGUGAGCGGAAUAUGUCAUGUAGCGGUGAAAUGCUUAGAUAUGACAUAGAACACCCAUUGCGAAGGCAGCUCACUACGGAAAUAUUGACGCUGAGGCACGAAAGCGUGAGGAUCAAACAGGAUUAGAUACCCUGGUAGUUCACGCCCUAAACGAUGGAUACUCGACAUACGCGAUACACAGUGUGUGUCUGAGCGAAAGCAUUAAGUAUCCCACCUGGGAAGUACGACCGCAAGGUUG
This 373-nucleotide ribosomal RNA is filed under the name uncultured bacterium. RNAcentral describes it as "bacterial SSU rRNA". It matches the Rfam family "Bacterial small subunit ribosomal RNA", at positions 521 to 896 of the family's 1533-position model. The record is from RNAcentral.